AGUCCUCAUAGAGGAAAUAUAUCAAACACUUGUUGUCUCUCCUUCCAUAAAGGAACUCUUUCUCUCUCUCUCUCUCUGUUUUCUUAUUGUUGAUAUUGACUCGUUAACAUACAUAUAGUCGAGCAGCUACACCCAUAACUCCUUCCUGAUAGAAAUAAAGAAAAAGGAGAAAAAGAGAAGGGAAGAAGAAGAAGAGGAGCACACAAGGUAUGGUUGAAGAUGAUCUUUUGAGAUGGAGGAGUGGUUAGGCAUAUUUACGAAUGGCUUUGGUGACUUGUGGCAAUGGUGAUGGCGUGGGUGGCUUGCUGUGCUGCAGAAAUGAUGGCUUGAUGACUUGCUGUAAAGAUUUGGCUUGCUGUGCAGACUAGUGUGGAUGACAUGGCUUGAUGACUUGCUGCAGAGAUUUGGCUUGUUAUUCAUGAAUAACUUGCUGUAGAGAUUUAUUCACUAACACCCCCCCUGCAAACUUAUGGGAGAAACUUCCUUCAGUUUGUCUUUUGCUUCU
Molecule: long non-coding RNA, 505 nt
Organism: Alnus glutinosa
Lineage: Eukaryota; Viridiplantae; Streptophyta; Magnoliopsida; Fagales; Betulaceae
Exons: 2
Source: RefSeq, a predicted model, not a curated record